RNAcentral lists this unclassified non-coding RNA (1883 nucleotides) under Leishmania donovani. Its description in RNAcentral is "gene:LdHU3.14.0150(CDS-product:hypothetical_prote in_conserved)". The record is from RNAcentral. Lineage: Eukaryota; Euglenozoa; Kinetoplastea; Trypanosomatida; Trypanosomatidae.
CGCUGUCGUACACUUCACGACAGCGUCCCCUCGUGCUCUUCCUCUUUGGAUCCUCUGCAUAAUUACUUCCUCGAUGUCUGUGCCACCCCCGCCCCCGGCGGCGAUACCGCUGCCUUCGUUAGCAACCGCGGUUCCGCUACCGCCCUCUUGCGUUGUGCCGCCUCCUCCAUCCGCGUCAGCUGCCCCGCCCCCUCCACCCAUGGCCACCGUUCCUCUGCCGCCUGCGGAGGCCACGCCGCCGCCACCGUCCGCGCCGUUGAUUCCGCCUCCACCAGCAAGCGUCAUUCCUCUGCCACAGCCGCCAGGUAUCAAUGCAGCCGUAUCGGCAGCACCACCACCACCCUCAGCGAUCGCUGCGGCCCCGCUGCUUCCGGAAGCCUCACCCCCUCCUCCAACAAGUACGGUGGCCCCACCUCCACCCGUGCAGGCAGCACCAGCGUUGGCAGAGCCACCACCUGUGCAGCCCAUCUCCGUUGAGGCAUGGCGGACCCUAGAAGGCGCCACCCGCGAGCCGGUGCCAAACUUGGCGGCCACCCGCUACCUAGCGGUGGAGGAGCGGGUGCGAGAUGAGGUGUGUCGGCUCUUUAUCCUCUCCGAAUACGAUGUUGGUACCCUCAUGGUAAACAUCGUCCAAAGCCUCCAGCACGUGGGGCGUCAUGACGUGGGUCUGCUGCGGAACGAUAACAGCACCGCCUUCACCAUCACCCAGUCUACCGCGCACGCGCGGCAGGGGGAUACGCUGGUGGAGCAGCGGCGCCACGCUGUUGCCGAUGCGAUCGAGCGCAUCAACCAGGCUGGCAGCGAUGCCGAGCGCGCGUUUGCUGAGGUAGCGCAACGUGUGGCAGCAACUGCACCGCCGGCAGCACCAGCGAAGGAUGCCCCCACCGCUGCAGCGCCAGCGUUCCGCAAGAGCGCCUACGAACUGCUGAUGGAGCAAAUCGCAGCCACUCGCCGCGGGCGCAGUCCGCAGAACCGUCGCAUCGCCUCUCCGGAGGAGCGGCCGAAGCGCGCAGCGGGUGGGGCGGGGUGUGUCGAGUACCCCACCUCCUACAACGGUAGCUAUCUGCUGCGGCGCUACGGGGGCACGUACGAUCCGCAGCGCCAAUACAGUCAUUACCGCUACUACGGCUUUCCUCCAUCGAAGUGAGGCGUUUCUUUUCUUUACGCAGCGUGGAGGCGUACCAGAGCACGACGCACACACGCGCGAAGACAGUCAGUGUGGCGCACCAACAGCGUGGUGGUGGAAAGGAGUGGGUGGUGCGCACCGCAAAUCUCUAGAACUGCAUAGAUAGACCUCGCGUUCUCCUUGCUCCCCUCGCCCCCUCCUCCCUCCCCCACCGCACAAACAUGCCUGUACGUGCUUGUGUGUGUCUGCCUCGGUGUGCAUGGUUGUGCAGACGCGCGGUGUGAAGCCGGAUUAGAAGGAAGCGGCGAUGUGUCAGAGAUACAGCAUGCAUCGGGAGAUGCAGAUAGAUUGUGACUCGCAUAGCGCGCCUCUUGCUUAACGGGCCAGUGCGUUUGGUAGAUGACACCUGCUGCGCGCUCAACACACCGGAAAAAAGCAGUUCUGUAGAAGAGCCAUCCCCCGCAAGCCUCUAUUGGUGGGGCUCCAUUGCCAUGCGUUGUGUGCCCUCGACUCAUCCUCGAUGGGCUCCAGCAAGCUAUGCCUUCCGACAGCCCGCAUCCACACACACACACACACACACACACACACAGUGCUGCGGGAGCGCCGUUUCAAGCACGAGACGCCGCUCCCCAGCGCUUUCUCCUUUUCGUUCUGCUUCGAAAGGCGCUCUUGUCGGUGUUACUUGUGGAGCUGUCUGCCCAGAGCCCACUCUACCCCCUCACUUCGCUCCACGCCCUCUCUCGCUCGAUCCUGGUAG